RNAcentral lists this transfer RNA (73 nucleotides) under Microgenomates bacterium OLB23. RNAcentral describes it as "tRNA-Lys". It matches the Rfam family "tRNA". From Rfam's summary of the family: Transfer RNA (tRNA) molecules are approximately 80 nucleotides in length. Their secondary structure includes four short double-helical elements and three loops (D, anti-codon, and T loops). The record is from RNAcentral. Lineage: Bacteria; Candidatus Microgenomatota.
GGGCCGGUAGCUCAAUGGUAGAGCAGUUCCCUUUUAAGGAAUUGGUUGUGGGUUCGAGUCCCUCCCGGCUCAC